UCCUGGUGUAGUGCACUACACAGGGUGUGGUUUGGAACCCUGUUCCUGGUGUAGUGCACUACACAGGGUGUGGUUUGGAACCCUGUUCCUGGUGUGCUCUGCACUACACAGGGUGUGGUUUGGAACCCUGUUCCUGGUGUAGUGCACUACACAGGGUGUGGUUUGGAACCCUGUUCCUGGUGUAGUGCACUACACAGGGUGUGGUUUGGAACCCUGUUCCCGAUGUGGUGCACUACACAGGGUGUGGUUUGGAACCCUGUUCCCGGUGUAGUGCACUACACAGGGUGUGGUUUGGAACCCUGUUCCCGGUGUAGUGCUCUACACUACACAGGGUGUGGUUUGGAACCCUGUUCCCGGUGUAGUGCUCUACACUACACAGGGUGUGGGUUGGAACCCUGUUCCCGGUGUAGUGCUCUACACUACACAGGGUGUGGGUUGGAACCCUGUUCCCGGUGUAGUGCUCUACACUACACAGGGUGUGGGUUGGAACCCUGUUCCCGGUGUAGUGCUCUACACUACACAGGGUGUGGUUUGGAACCCUGUUCCCGGUGUAGUGCUCUACACUACACAGGGUGUGGUUUGGAACCCUGUUCCCGGUGUAGUGCUCUACACUACACAGGGUGUGGUUUGGAACCCUGUUCCCGGUGUAGUGCUCUACACUACACAGGGUGUGGUUUGGAACCCUGUUCCCGGUGUAGUGCUCUACACUACACAGGGUGUGGUUUGGAACCCUGUUCCCGGUGUAGUGCUCUACACUACACAGGGUGUGGUUUGGAACCCUGUUCCCGGUGUAGUGCUCUACACUACACAGCCUCUGUUUAUUUAAGUGGUACUUCUGUUCUGUUGGACAACAGGCUGUAUUUUGAUGUGUGUUUUGGCUGUUGUGUGUUUCUUCCAUUGGGAGGUGCAGUUUGAGACGUCUGCCUGUCGAACAGGGGUUCGACCUUCCUCUGUGGAAGCUGGUAUGGGUGCAGGCUUUAGCUCCCGCCCUGCAGUAAAACCUGUUUCAACUAAUCAUUUUUUAACGUUGAUUUAAUUAUAGUUAAGUCAAAUUCUAGUUAUCAAUAAAGAACAGCUGAUUCAACUGAUCCAAUUAGUCUUGGUCAUCAAUAAAGACUUUAUUAGUGGAGUCUGAUGUGUUACACCCACCGUGGUUCUGACAGGUUCUGGCCCCUGGAGCAGAGAACAGACACCCACCGUGGCCCGGACAGGUUCUGACCCCUGGAGCAGAGAACAGACACCCACCGUGGCCCUGACAGGUUCUGACCCCUGGAACAGAGAACAGAGACACCCACCGUGGCCCUGACAGGUUCUGACCCCUGGAGCAGAGAACAGAGACCCACCGUGGCCCUGACAGGUUCUGACCCCUGGACCAGAGAACAGACACCCACCGUGGCCCUGACAGGUUCUGACCCCUGGAGCAGAGAACAGACACCCACCGUGGCCCUGACAGGUUCUGACCCCUGGACCAGAGAACAGACAGGUUCUGACCCCUGGACCAGAGAACAGACAGGUUCUGACCCCUGGACCAGAGAACAGACACCCACCGUGGCCCUGACAGGUUCUGACCCCUGGACCAGAGAACAGACACCCCCAGUGAAAGCAGCAUCUAUGUGGGGGAAGUGAUCAGAACCCUGGUCAGGAUAGUGAACGGUGGACCAGUCAAUCUUCAUUUCAUUUGCAUCUCCAUAUACCUUCUCUUCUCGUCAAUAGAGAUGAUUCAUAUGUUGAAAUGUAUAUCAAGAUAUUGUUUAUUUCACUUUUCUUUCAUCCUGGUUCCAUCAAUCGUCCAAUCAUCAAGCCCUUUUGAUAAGUUGAUUGAGGUGUGUUAGGCUGGCACAAAACCCUGCACACCCUGUGUGUUUCCAGGACUGGGAUUGAAGGACACUGAUGUGUUUAACUUUGUGUUUGUCAGAAUCAGACUGGGGAUGAAUUUUAAUUUAGUUUCUCAGAUUUUUACGAAGUGCUUUUUUUACUGAGCGGCUGAUGUUUUGAAUUUAGUCUGUGUUUUUGGUUUUACUGUGUUGUUGUUAUUGACAUUAUUUAACAGAUCACGAGUUUGUAAAUAUUGAUGAAAGACUGAGGAUGAUGUUAUUAUCGUUGGUGGUAAUAUAAGCAGUGUAUAGCACCUUCAUAAGCAGUGUAUAGCACCUUCAUAAGCAGUGUAUAGCACCUUCAUAAGCAGUGUAUAGCACCUUCAUAAGCAGUGUAUAGCACCUUCAUAAGCAGUGUAUAGCACCUUCAUAAGCAGUGCAUGAGGGCUUCAUAGGUAAAAGCAUCAUCUUGAGUCUUGUCCAAUAUGACAUGUACUGACCCAAUCACAACAACCCCACGCCCUUCCAGCAAGUAUUUGAAACGAUCCGACCCAUACAGACCCGUUAAUCUGGGCUUGGGCUUUGGAUCCUCCACAGGGAUGACGUAGGCCCUUAAGUAUUGCUUAUGAAGGGGACAAGUAGCCUCUAAGUAGGUUUCCUGCUCUAACUCUAAAGAUCUGACCAUACAUGGACUGUACAUCAGUGGAGUUGUUGCUAAUAGCAACAUGUCAAAAGUAUACCUAAUUUACAUCCCAAAUGGUACCCUAUCCCCUAUAUAGUGCCCUUCAUUUGACCAGAGCCCUAUGGGUUGAGCCCUAUAAAGUACACUUCAUUUGACCAGAGCCCUAUAUAGUACACUUCAUUUGACCAGAGCCCUAUGGGUUGAACCCUAUAUAGUACACUUCA
Long non-coding RNA from Oncorhynchus tshawytscha (Chinook salmon), 2720 nucleotides. RefSeq lists it as uncharacterized. NCBI's taxonomy places the organism in Eukaryota, Metazoa, Chordata, Actinopteri, Salmoniformes, Salmonidae. The record is from RefSeq and is a predicted model, not a curated record. The transcript is spliced from 3 exons.